UGGGGAAUUUUGGACAAUGGGGGAAACCCUGAUCCAGCCAUCCCGCGUGUGCGAUGAAGGCCUUCGGGUUGUAAAGCACUUUUGGCAGGAAAGAAACGUCGCGGGUUAAUACCCCGCGAAACUGACGGUACCUGCAGAAUAAGCACCGGCUAACUACGUGCCAGCAGCCGCGGUAAUACGUAGGGUGCAAGCGUUAAUCGGAAUUACUGGGCGUAAAGCGUGCGCAGGCGGUUCGGAAAGAAAGAUGUGAAAUCCCAGAGCUUAACUUUGGAACUGCAUUUUUAACUACCGGGCUAGAGUGUGUCAGAGGGAGGUAGAAUUCCGCGUGUAGCAGUGAAAUGCGUAGAUAUGCGGAGGAACACCGAUGGCGAAGGCAGCCUCCUGGGAUAACACUGACGCUCAUGCACGAAAGCGUGGGGAGCAAACAGGAUUAGAUACCCUGGUAGUCCACGCCCUAAACGAUGUCAACUAGCUGUUGGGGCCUUCGGGCCUUGGUAGCGCAGCUAACGCGUGAAGUUGACCGCCUGGGGAGUACGGUC
This 539-nucleotide ribosomal RNA is filed under the name uncultured bacterium. Its description in RNAcentral is "partial 16S ribosomal RNA". It matches the Rfam family "Bacterial small subunit ribosomal RNA", at positions 355 to 887 of the family's 1533-position model. The record is from RNAcentral.